UUCGGCAUUGUGAUCCUGCACUGCGAGAGGAUGAAUUAUGUUUUUGGGGAGCGCUUUGCACGACUACUAAAAUUCAUCAUCACAGGUCAUCUACCGUACAAGUCGGGCAGUCCUACUCAUCGCCGUCAACAGCAGAUCGUUGUAACAUCGUCCUUAACACCAUCGCUCCUACAACAACUAACUAACAGUAUGUUCUUCGUGAUAUGUUCAUGUCUCUUUCUGUAGUUGCUACUUCAUGUGUGAUGAUGAUGUGCAUACUCUGUUGUUCAUCUAGUUUGUUAGAUUGUUGCACGCUAGCUUCCUCUUUAGUCAUGAAUUGUUUACUGAAAUUAAUCAUAAUCUUGCCUAAUUUUCCAACAAGAUGUUUGCGACCAGGCUGCUAGUUGCAAGGUGUAUGCAGGAGGGGAAGGCAGCACUGGACCGUUCUAUGCGUCUGAUCUAAUGGUUGGCUACUCGACUGACUUUUUGGAACCUAGCGCUUUGGACCCUUCAUAAUUUUUACUUUUGACGGUAGAACUAAGAGCAUGUCCCUCGGGGGUAGAAAUUGGCUACAUGAAUUUUUGUGUUGCAGAGACUAUAGCUCCAAGUUUAUUCGAUGACGUGCAUGCAUGGUACAUUUAUGUAUUUGAACCUGAAACAUGUANGGAACGGAGGGAGUAUUAGUGAGCGAGGUUCAGACAGAUCUGGAUUUGAAUACUUGGCGUGG
RNAcentral lists this long non-coding RNA (706 nucleotides) under Hordeum vulgare. RNAcentral describes it as "long non-coding RNA (HVUL_LNC006159)". The record is from RNAcentral. Lineage: Eukaryota; Viridiplantae; Streptophyta; Magnoliopsida; Poales; Poaceae.